CUGGGGUGCUCGAGUGGCGAACGGGUGAGUAACACGUGGGUGAUCUGCCCUGCACUUCGGGAUAAGCUUGGGAAACUGGGUCUAAUACCGGAUAGGACCAUCGUUUAGUGUCGGUGGUGGAAAGUUUUUUCGGUGCGGGAUGAGCUCGCGGCCUAUCAGCUUGUUGGUGGGGUAAUGGCCUACCAAGGCGUCGACGGGUAGCCGGCCUGAGAGGGUGUACGGCCACAUUGGGACUGAGAUACGGCCCAG
RNAcentral lists this ribosomal RNA (249 nucleotides) under uncultured Actinomycetales bacterium. Its description in RNAcentral is "partial 16S ribosomal RNA". It matches the Rfam family "Bacterial small subunit ribosomal RNA", at positions 82 to 334 of the family's 1533-position model. Lineage: Bacteria; Bacillati; Actinomycetota; Actinomycetes; Actinomycetales. The record is from RNAcentral.